CCUGCAUCUGCCAACAAGACUGGAAGCAGACUGGUUUGCAGGUCGGCGCAUGGACAUUUUCCCAGGAACGGACAGAGACAGCAAAGUUUGACGGUCUGGAAAGCAGAAAUCAGUGGGGCUGACUGCUUGGGAGGUAAGUUCUGGGGACGUGGUACAGGGUGAGGAGCAGGUAUCAGUGCUAGUUGCGACCCCUCCGUGUCUCCCCCUCCCAAUGCCAUUCUGAAGCUCCCCAGGAAGAAGCUAGGAGGGGAAAUAAAUUGAGUGGGGGUGGGGUUUCCCAAGAAUCGGAGGAACCGAGAACGAACAGGGGUGGGGGAACCGGGAAAGAGAGAGAGGAAAAUCAAGUUUUCUUCAGCACGAGGGACAGCUCUCCCCCGACCAAAGGAGGAGAAUGCUAUUUAUUUCAGCACCAAGUAUACGGACAGCGCCUCUCGGGGGUUCCAAGGAGAGAACCGCGAUCUGUUUCAGCACCGGGGCUCAGGACAGUUCCCAGAGGGCUCCGUUUCGGCGCCGGAACCCUGGACAACUCCCCCAGACGGAGUCUUGCUCUGUUGCCCAGGCUGGGG
Molecule: long non-coding RNA, 566 nt
Organism: Cercocebus atys (sooty mangabey)
Lineage: Eukaryota; Metazoa; Chordata; Mammalia; Primates; Cercopithecidae
Exons: 3
Source: RefSeq, a predicted model, not a curated record